UGCAUAUAUCCCACAUGACAUGAUCUUCAAAA
RNAcentral lists this non-coding RNA (32 nucleotides) under Syntrophotalea carbinolica DSM 2380. Lineage: Bacteria; Pseudomonadati; Thermodesulfobacteriota; Desulfuromonadia; Desulfuromonadales; Syntrophotaleaceae. The record is from RNAcentral.